This 852-nucleotide ribosomal RNA is filed under the name Escherichia coli. Its description in RNAcentral is "partial 23S ribosomal RNA". It matches the Rfam family "Bacterial large subunit ribosomal RNA", at positions 165 to 1057 of the family's 2925-position model. Lineage: Bacteria; Pseudomonadati; Pseudomonadota; Gammaproteobacteria; Enterobacterales; Enterobacteriaceae. The record is from RNAcentral.
CAUAGGUUAAUGAGGCGAACCGGGGGAACUGAAACAUCUAAGUACCCCGAGGAAAAGAAAUCAACCGAGAUUCCCCCAGUAGCGGCGAGCGAACGGGGAGGAGCCCAGAGCCUGAAUCAGUGUGUGUGUUAGUGGAAGCGUCUGGAAAGGCGCGCGAUACAGGGUGACAGCCCCGUACACAAAAAUGCACAUAUUGUGAGCUCGAUGAGUAGGGCGGGACACGUGGUAUCCUGUCUGAAUAUGGGGGGACCAUCCUCCAAGGCUAAAUACUCCUGACUGACCGAUAGUGAACCAGUACCGUGAGGGAAAGGCGAAAAGAACCCCGGCGAGGGGAGUGAAAAAGAACCUGAAACCGUGUACGUACAAGCAGUGGGAGCCUCUUAAUGGGGUGACUGCGUACCUUUUGUAUAAUGGGUCAGCGACUUAUAUUCUGUAGCAAGGUUAACCGAAUAGGGGAGCCGAAGGGAAACCGAGUCUUAACUGGGCGUUAAGUUGCAGGGUAUAGACCCGAAACCCGGUGAUCUAGCCAUGGGCAGGUUGAAGGUUGGGUAACACUAACUGGAGGACCGAACCGACUAAUGUUGAAAAAUUAGCGGAUGACUUGUGGCUGGGGGUGAAAGGCCAAUCAAACCGGGAGAUAGCUGGUUCUCCCCGAAAGCUAUUUAGGUAGCGCCUCGUGAAUUCAUCUCCGGGGGUAGAGCACUGUUUCGGCAAGGGGGUCAUCCCGACUUACCAACCCGAUGCAAACUGCGAAUACCGGAGAAUGUUAUCACGGGAGACACACGGCGGGUGCUAACGUCCGUCGUGAAGAGGGAAACAACCCAGACCGCCAGCUAAGGUCCCAAAGUCAUG